Molecule: ribosomal RNA, 641 nt
Filed under: uncultured bacterium
Lineage: Bacteria
Description: bacterial SSU rRNA
Rfam family: Bacterial small subunit ribosomal RNA
Source: RNAcentral
GAGUUGAUCUGGCUCGAAUCAACGCUGGCGGCGUGCCUAACACAUGCAAGUCGAGCGCGAAAGGGGAGCAAUCCCCGAGUAGAGCGGCGAACGGGUGAGUAACGCGUGGGUAAUCUACCUCCGAGUGGGGAAUAACAGCGGGAAACUGCUGCUAAUACCGCAUGACAUCGUCGGGCCUUCGGGCCUGACGAUCAAAGCCGGGGACCGCAAGGCCUGGCGCUUGGAGAGGAGCCCGCGUCCGAUUAGCUAGUUGGCGGGGUAAUGGCCCACCAAGGCUCCGAUCGGUAGCCGGCCUGAGAGGGCGGACGGCCACACUGGGACUGAGACACGGCCCAGACUCCUACGGGAGGCAGCAGUGGGGAAUUUUUCGCAAUGGGGGAAACCCUGACGAAGCAACGCCGCGUGGAGGAUGAAGGCCUUCGGGUCGUAAACUCCUGUCGACCGGGACGAACGCUAUUGGGCCCAAUACGCCCGAUAGUCGACUGUACCGGUGGAGGAAGCCACGGCUAACUCUGUGCCAGCAGCCGCGGUAAUACAGAGGUGGCAAGCGUUGUUCGGAAUUACUGGGCGUAAAGGGCGCGUAGGCGGUCUGGUCAGUCCCUUGUGAAUCCCCCGGCUCACUGGGGAAUGGAAGGGAACAG